This 130-nucleotide ribosomal RNA is filed under the name uncultured bacterium. Its description in RNAcentral is "partial 16S ribosomal RNA". It matches the Rfam family "Bacterial small subunit ribosomal RNA", at positions 362 to 509 of the family's 1533-position model. The record is from RNAcentral.
UAUUGCACAAUGGGGGGAACCCUGAUGCAGCGACGCCGCGUGGGUGAAGGAGUGCUUCGGCAUGUAAGCCCUAUCGGCAGGGAAGAAGCAAGACGGUACCUGACUAAGAAGCCCGGCUAACUACGUCGCC